This 266-nucleotide ribosomal RNA is filed under the name uncultured archaeon. RNAcentral describes it as "partial 16S ribosomal RNA". It matches the Rfam family "Archaeal small subunit ribosomal RNA", at positions 717 to 982 of the family's 1478-position model. The record is from RNAcentral.
ACACGACUACAUUAGAUACCCGGGUAGUCCUAGCCGUAAACGAUACUCGCUAGGUGUCGGCCACGGUGCGACCGUUGUCGGUGCCGUAGGGAAGCCGUGAAGCGAGCCACCUGGGAAGUACGGCCGCAAAGGCUGAAACUUAAAGGAAUUGGCGGGGGAGCACAGCAACGGGUGGAGCUUGCGGUUUAAUUGGAUUCAACGCCGGAAAUCUUACCGGGACCGACAGCAACAUGAAGGCCAAGCUGAAGACUUUGCCGGAUUAGCUG